AGCGUUUUAAAUGUUCUUUGGUUGACUUUUGGUUUGUUUUUUUGGUGUCUUUAUCUCCUCUUUCUCUCUCUUUCUUCUUUCUUUUUUGCUUAAAUAAAACUUUUGGUAUUUGUUUAAAUUAUACUGAUUGUGAACAGGAGGUUUUAGAAUAUUUGCUUUGUUUCAGUUUUCUGUUCUAUAAGAUAAAUGUGUAGUUUACCGAGCCAUUGGAUCAUUUCUUCCUCAUGUCUUGGAAGUCCAAUAACUCUAACCUUGAACUGUGAAUAAAUUACCAAAACUUACUGAGAAUUGCAUUUUGAAGCAAUUUGCCAAUAUUUGAAGUAUAUACAUGUUUGUAGAUGUGUUAAAGAUUGUAUUGCACUAAGAAUGUAGUCAGUGUUAGUUGUUAGUAAACUUUUCUGAUGUUAGAAGUUACUUCAUUACUAUUGCUUUUUAAAAGAAGAGAUGAUUGGAUAAAUAUAAUCAGGAGUUUCAUGUCUCCACUCCAACUUGCCAGUUGUUUUUUGAAAGAAUCAUUAGACUAAAACAAAGGAUCUACUUUUUGUGAUGUCAUAUACCUUAACAAGUCUUUUAAAAAUUUUUGUGAGAAUGUGUUGUUUCUAGCGAAUUUCUAGUGUAUACAGUGAUCAGCAACUUUGCAUAAGUAAAUUGAUAGUUGCAAAAGAAGGAUAGUUGCAAAAGAUGGGUGAGUAACAAGACAGCAUGUAUGCUAAAGUUUCUGUAGUAUCUGGCAAUCUGUUAAUUAUAGAACAAAGAUUCCUUUUACAGGAUCCUUUUAUAAACAGCAAGCGAAAAUCUCUAUCCCGAGUGCUUACAGCACUUGCUGUGUUCUGCAGGAGACAGAGUUAUGAGCCAGGGUAGUUUGAAUGAAUAGCUGUGCUGUUUUGCCUUCCCGGAGACUGAGGCCAGUUCCUCAUCUCUGUCUCUGUGUUGCAGCAAAGCCUGGGGCUGCACACAGCGUGGGUCAUUUUUUCCAUGGGUCACAUUUUGGCAUAAAAUCCAGCUUUACUUUUAUUAAGCAGUUAUCUUUAAAUUCUCCUCAGUUGGCUGGAAGUAUUUACUGAGUACUUACUAAAGGCCAAGAAAUAAUUUCCCUAAAUUAGAGGCCUGUUUUUCAUUGGAGUGGCAUUUAAGAAAAAAAUUGUUUUAACUUUUUUGGAUGAGGAGAAGAAGUGAGAGUUAAGUUUCUCUCAUUAAUCUGAAGGUACAUAGGUGUCCUGCAUUUUACAAAAUGAUAUAAGAAAAAUGAUGUUGGAACUUUAUUAGUUUAAACAUCCUGGAGCUAUAAACUAAUCUUGUCAUUAUAUACAGACAGGUUGCCAGGUUACAGGUCAUUUAACCAGCGGAUCCCUUCCCCAGAAGUAUGUGUAUAAUAAGAUAAAUUUAUUAUUCUCUUUUUUUGGUUAGCAUGUGUACAAGAGAUUAUUUGCAAGAUUGAAAGACCACAUUUUUGAACUUCAUACUAACAUGAUUUAUUGCCUCAAAUUCCAAGGUUCACUUGUGUGUUUUCUCAUGUAUUUCUCCUAAUGCUGUCAUGUAGCCAUAUUUUCCUUUUCAUAUUUCAAGAGAUUUUUGAAAAUGAAGUAUGAAUGUACAGUUGAAAAUAUGGAAUAAAAAAUGGAGCUUGUAAACAAUUAGAAAAAUGCUUUUUUGGAUAGAGUUACAGUUCUUUCCUUCCACUCACUUAUGAGUCUACCUCUGUUUGUGUAAGAUUAAAAAGAUUGUUUAUACCUUAUUAGGAUGAAAGCUCUUGGCAUGUUUUUCAUAUGCUUUAUUUUCUGCAGUAUACUGAGUGAUGUAGAAGCAUCCAACAAUUUAAAAACCAGAGCCUAAUGUGUAUUGUGGAACUCAUAGCUCUUGUAUACCCUGGGGGAGUUCAUUUUUGCCUCUAUCACUCAGCUUUAUGUGUUCCAAAAUGGAGGUAAAUAUGGUGAGGUCUUAGAAUUGCUAGAAUAGUCAUGGAGAAUUCUAGAUUCAUUAUACCUAAAGGGCAAAUGACCCUGUGGUUCUUAGCUAAUGCUUUUUUUUUUUUUUUUUUUUAGAUUUUAUUUAUUUGACAGAGAGAUCACAAGUAGGCAGAGAGGCAGGCUGGCAGUGAGAGAGGGGAAAGCAGGCUCCCCACUGAGCAGAGAGCCUGAUGCGGGGCUUGAUCCCAGGACCUUGAGAUCAUGACCUGAGCCACCCAGGCACCCCAGCUAAUACAUUCUUAAUUUGUGAGACUCAGAGGUGGCUGUCCAUUAAUUUUAGGUUGUCCUACAACAUCCCGGCUGUGAAGCUCCCCGCGUACCAGGGCCACUGCAGUUUGUUCCUACCAACAGCCCCUUUCAGGUGACACUCCUGUCCGCAUGUUGUCCUCACUGAUGCCAGUGUGGCGUCCUCCAGACAUGGAUGUUCUGUGGCAAGUUCAAUGUGAGAUGGACUCAUUAGAAAGCCUGGUCUUCAAACAGUGCCUCUAAUGGGUUGGAUCGUACCUGAGAGAGUGAAGGCUGGUAGUUCUCAGGCAAGGGAAAUAGUAAAUACAAGUUUCUGGUAGACGUGAAUGCAGAUAGCCAGUAGAGUUGUUUUGAAAUAUUAAAUAUAUUUGCUUUGACUUUUAUCUCUUGCUUUCCUAAUUUUGUAUUUAUCCUUUGAAUAAAAUGUAAACCGAAUAUUGAAUUACUUUUACUGCUGCUGUGUAGAAACCUAAGAACUGUGGGAAAUCCUUAUAAGAUUUUUAUCUCGUUUUUGUUAUUAACUUGGACCUAUGUGUAGUUACUAAAGUUCAAAGUAUUUCUUUGUUUGAAAGAAACGAAUUAACUUUAAAACUUCCUAAUCUGGGCGCCUGGGUGGCUCAGUGGGUUAAGUGGAUCAUGCCUCCGGCUCAGGUCAUGAUCUCAGGGUCCUGGGAUUGAGCCCCCCCAUUGGGCUCUCUGCUCAGUGGGGAGCCUGCUUCCCCCUCUCUCUCUCUGCUUGUCUCUCCACCUACUUGUGUGUGAUCUCUCUUUCUGCCAAAUAAAUAAAUAAAAGCUUAAAAAAAAAACCAAACAACUUCCUAAUAUGUAGGGGUUUUGUGUUUUUUGUUGUGUUUAUUUUUGUUUUUUGACAUUUGAAGUGAAAUGGCCUCUGAAAGCAGAAUUGACAUUACUGACACAACGUUAAUAACUUCAGUUCUUUGAGUUAUUUUCUCAGCAGAGACAUAUUUGUGUAAAUUUGUUCGUGAAUGCCUGGUUUCAGGAGUGUAGGAGCUCCCCAGAACAGACAAAAGCCAGCUGACUUGUAGACACUUUGUUCUCCUCAACUUGGCCUUCCUGACGGGUGACAUUCUUACGUUAAUGGUCCUCAGUUCCUUUGGGUUCAAUAUACUGAAACUAAGGAAGGGCAGCUCUGAGAGUGUUGACAUCCUAUCAGAAGAUAAUGCUGAUUUUUUAGGUUAUUUUUUAUUUUAUUUUUAAAGAUUUUAUUUUUAAGUAAUCUCUACACCCCAGAUGGAGCUUGAACUCAUGACCCUGAGAUCAGGAGUUGCAUGCUCCACCAACUGAGCCAGCCAGGUGCCCCUAAAGUUAUUUUUAAAAUUCAAUAAUUUAUUUUUUAAAUACUGUCAUGGCUUGGCUUAUGCCCAACUAGGAUGCCUCAAAACUUGGAUCAUUAUUUAAAUGGACAAUCCUUUGCAAAAUGUAACAGUUCUUGUUUUUCCCUUCUUACUUUGUACUGCCCAGUAUCCUGGCUACUCUGGGUCCGUAGAUAUGAGAAGGACAUGUGGACUAAUGGGUUCUGCUUUAAUGAUACACAUAUUUCUCAUUGCCUAAACAGUGCCUUUGCCAGGGGAGUUCCUUAAUAAAAUGCUUGCUGACCUUAAGUUACACUCUAAAUAGCAUUUUUAUUUCUAAUUUUUUCUUUCAGUGCCUUUACUUGCUGAGCUAGAGUUUGAUCAAGAAAUCAUAAAUCACUACCAGCUGGCAUUUCUAGUAAGAAAGGAUUUAACAUGGGGGAACUGGGCUUACACAGCCAUUAGAAGGCCUGGGGACAGGGAGGGAGGGAGGGCCAUGUGCCAGAGCAGGAAUUGCAAGGAGCCACUACUAUCAGGGGUCUGGGUUGCUGUAGCACCGGGUGGGCCACUGCCAGAAGAUGUGUGGAAGCUGCUGGCAAAUCCCACAUUAGCUGCCUGAGGCCCAUUAACCUGUUUGCAGUUUACCACUGGUGAAUACUUAUUUCUACUUCUCUUCUCCAAAUUCUGUACAAGUGCCUCUCACUGGUGAAAUCUAAUUGGAUCUCUGUGGCUAAGUAUCCAGCGGAAGGGAGAUAUUGUACAGUGCAGCUCACCCUUUGGAUUACCCAGCAUCUCUACUCACCCUUGUCUCCGUAUUUAAAUUUCCAAAGAAGAGCAAGAAGAAUACCAUGGUUCUCUUUGGCAUGCUGCAACUAUCCCUCUUGGAAUAAAGAAACACUGUCUUCCCAAGAAAAGAUACAUUUCACAAGUUUCCCCCCAAAAAAUGGGAGAGAGAUUUGAGGCAGAAGAAGCCAUUCGGCAUUUUGACCACAGAGGCAGAUGUGGGAAUGGUACAGCCACCAGAAGCUGAAGAGAUAAGAAAUGUAUUUUUCCCUUAAGUCUCCAAGGGGAGUGUGUUCCUACCAACACCUUGAUUUCAACUCUGUGAUACCAAUUUUGGUCAUCUGGCCUCCAGAACUGAGAGAGAAUAAAUCUCUGCUGUUUUAAAUCACCAUAUUCUUGGUAAAUGAUUACAGCAGCUACAAGGAAAUGGAUUCAGAGAACUUGCACAUCUUUUGUUGUAUUUAUCCCUAGGUACUUGAUAACUUUUGUUCUUACUAUUUUUUUUUAAUUACAAUAUUUUUUUUAAAUAAAAAAAAUUACAUUUUCUAGCUUUUUUUUUUUUUUGAUGGUAUAGAAAAUACAAUGAAAUUCUGUAUGUAGAAUUUGGUUUGCUGUAACUUUGCUAAAUUCACUUAUUUCUAGUGGAUAUUUUCUAUAUGCAAUAUUAUGUUACCUGUGAAUAACUGGGUUUGUUUCUUCCCUACUGAUCCUUACACAUUAAAAAAUUUUUUGCCUUUCUCUGCUGCCCAGGACAUCCAGUAUAAUUUGAAUAGAAAUGGUAAUGGGAACUUCCUUGUUUGUCCUUCUAAUGCCAAAGGAAAAAUUUCAACAUUUUACCAUCAGGUAUUAGAUUUGCUGUAGAUUUUUGUAGACACCCUUUAUCAGGUUAAGGAAGUUUUUUUUUUGUUGUUUGUUUUGUUUUGUUUUUCCUAUUCUUAGUUUACUAAGAGUUUGUUUGUCUUUAGUUGCUAUAUGGCUGCUUGGGUUUUAUCAAAAGCUUCUACUGACAUCACAUUAUUUUCCUCCUUUAAUCUGUUAAUGAAAAGGGUUAUGUUGCCUUCCUAGAAGAAAUUCAGUCUAGCAUUUUUAGGCUUUAAAUUGCUCCCCAAAUUGCUUUAUGUUGUGAUGUGUCAUAUUUGGGUUACUCAAGUGCAAGAUACAUUCUAAUUUCCAUUAUGAGUUCUUUGACUCAGAGGUUACUUAGAUGUGUUUCUUAAUUUUCAAACAUACCAUUCUAGUUACCAUGUUGUUACUGGUAUCUAAUGUGGUCAGAGAACAUGCUCUGAAUUACUUUAAUCUCUUGAGUACUUUCUUUUAGUCUGGUAUAUGGUCAGUUUUUUCCAGGUGUUCUGUGUGUGCUUGAAUUUAGCUAUGGCUGGAAUGGUCUUUGAAUAGGCCCAUUAGGGUCGUUUGUCGGUUGUGUUGGUCAGAUCUUCUCUACCCUGGUUGAUGGUUUGGUUUUGGUGGUGUACUCAGUUCCUGAGAUGGGCGUGUUAACAUCUACGUUGGUGGAAGUCUCUCACCUCUUCUCAUGCAGCCGCUUUAUAGAUUUCUUCUUGCAUACUUGCUUUACGUAUUCCGAUGUUAUAAUGAGAUGAAUGCACAUUGAAAGCUGUUGAUGAAUUGAAAAUGUUUCUUAUGAAAGAACCCUCUUUAUUCUUUAGUUAUAAACUUUUGCUUUAAAAUUCAGCUUGUUGGGUCGCCCGGGUGGCUCUGUUGGUUGAGUGACCGACUCUUGGUUUCAGCUGAGGUGGUGAUCUCAGGGUCAUGAAAUGGAGCCCCGCCCGCAUCAGGCUCUGCACGUCUCAGGGAGUCUGCUUGGGGACUCUCUCUUCCUCUCCCUCUCCCUUUGCUCCUUUCCUCCCCUCUGCUCUCUCUCUAAAAUAAAUAAAUAAAUCUUUUAAAAAAUGAAAUAAAGUCCAGCUUGUCACCUAGUAAUUUAGUCACACCAACUUUCUUCUGGUUAAUAUUUGCAUGAUACAUAUUUUUCAUCUUUUGAUUUUCAACCUUUAUGUAACCUUAUGUUUUAGAUUUAAACUUUUAUGAACAGCAUAUUAUUGGAGUUUUAAAAAUCCACUUUGAAAUGUUUGUCUUUUCAAUAGUGCAUUUAGUUAAUUUACAUUUAGAAACAUACCACUCAGGUGCCCCAGCUGUUUUUCUCUUUAUAUUUAUGGGCCAACCCACUUAAGUCUACUGUUUGGACCGUGGUAUGGGAAGGAGCACAGUGUGCCCUGCAGAUAGGACUCUGAGUGAAAUAAGAAGAGGAAAAGUAUCUUGCCUACUGUGGUAUUAUGGUUUAUAACACGACACAUAUAUUUGAUUGUUCUUCCAGUUUCUGGCAUAGAGCUCCUAAAAUUCUUGGAAUUUCCUAAGUGAUAAGUGUCCUAAAAGUGUCGUUUCUUAUGUUCUUGAGGUAACUUUUGGAAAGCCCCCUGGUCACCUAAGGAUAGGUAGGGGCUGGUUGCCAGGGGAAACGACCAUGUGCUUAGACGGUUGGAACUUUCAGUUCCAUGCCUUGAUUUCUGGGAGGGGAGAGGGGCUGCAGGCUGAGCCAGUCACAGUGACUAAUGAAUUAUCCGUGCCUUUGUGAUGAAGCCUCCAUAAAAACACAAAAGGAUGGGGCUCGGAGACCAUCCGGGUUGGCACACGCAGGGAGGUGCUGGGAGGGUGGCGUGCCUGGAGAGGGCAGGGAAGCUGCGGGUCCCUUCCUACAUACUUGCCCCGUGGACAGAUCGCUUUAGCUGCCUGUUGAUUCAUAUCCUUUAAUAUCAUUUGUCAUAAACUGGCUCUCUAGUGAGUACAUGGGUUUCCUGGAUUCUUUGAGCUGGUCCAGCAAAUUAAUUCAACCCACGGAGGAGGUUGCAGGAACCUCCGAUUCCAGUCGGUCAGAAGUGCAGGUGACAGCCUGGGCUUGCAGCUGUUACGUGAAGUGGGGUCAGUCUUGUGGGACUGAGCGUCUUUCCAUGUGGAAUCUGAUGCUGUCUCUGGGUAGACAGCACUGGAAAUGAGUUAAGUGCAGUGCACUUGGGUGGCUCAGUUGGUUGAGGGUCUGCCUUUGGCUCAGGUCAUGAUCCUGGAGUCCUGGGAUGGAGCCCUUGUUAGGCUUCUUGCUCAGCAGGAGAGUCUGCUUCUCCCUCUGACCCUCCCCUAUCUCAUGCUCUCUCUCUGUCUCUCAAAUUAAUAAGUAAAAUCUUUUUUUUUUAAUGAGUUAAUUGUUUGGUGGUGUGGGGAAUGCCCCCAUCCUUCCAAACACAUUGGAAUUGGUAUCAAAUCAUUAAUGUAGUUCAAGUAUUUAGUACACUUUGAAGAAAGCAAUGAUGCAAAAGGCCGGAUUUAUGUAGAAAGUUAUUCAGCUUCUCUUCCUGCUCCUCAGUUGGUGCUAGAACUAAGCAGAGGCAUCAUUUUCUUGGUGUGAUGCCUGGAUUGAAACACACCAGGGGAGGCCAAUUUUGCUAUUCUCUAAAAGUCAUUUUUGGCUCCCACCUACCCUGGGUUGAGUUGGAAAUGUGUAAAUUGAAGCCCAAGUUGAGAAUGAACUGGAGCCUUGAAGCUCUUAAACACUUAUUACUUGAGAGAAUGUGUAUGAAAGGACUUUUAAUCCUGUAAUAUGUGUAACACAUGUAAUAUAUGUAGCAUAUGGAAGGUAGAACUGACCAGAAAUGUGAAUGGGAAGUAGGAAGAAAGCACUGCAUAUUCUAUAUUAAGAACUUUAAAAAGUAAGUAAAAACUGUAACAAGCCAAGUUAAAAAUAAGAAAGAAACCCAAAAUUUGACCAACUUUAGUUAUAACUUUAACUCGAUUUAUUGCAAAAUCACUGUAUCUCUGCAGGUCUGGUUUCCCUGGUAUCUCGAGGAGAACAUUUUGGGUCAAAGCCACAUUUGAUGCUCAGCCAUGAGUCUCACGCUUAAAAGUUAAUAAAGUUCUUGAUUCCA
Molecule: long non-coding RNA, 8241 nt
Organism: Mustela lutreola (European mink)
Lineage: Eukaryota; Metazoa; Chordata; Mammalia; Carnivora; Mustelidae
Exons: 2
Source: RefSeq, a predicted model, not a curated record